GGGGAUGUAGCUCAGUGGUAGAGUGUUUGCCUGGCAUGCACAAGGCUGUAGGUUCAAUCUCCAUUCACA
Molecule: transfer RNA, 69 nt
Filed under: Neotoma lepida (desert woodrat)
Lineage: Eukaryota; Metazoa; Chordata; Mammalia; Rodentia; Cricetidae
Rfam family: tRNA
About the family: Transfer RNA (tRNA) molecules are approximately 80 nucleotides in length. Their secondary structure includes four short double-helical elements and three loops (D, anti-codon, and T loops).
Source: Rfam by way of RNAcentral